UUCCCCGAUAGCUCAGUCGGUAGAGCGACGGACUGUUAAUCCGCAGGUCGCUGGUUCGAGCCCAGCUCGG
RNAcentral lists this transfer RNA (70 nucleotides) under Bordetella bronchiseptica MO149. RNAcentral's name for it is "tRNA Asn anticodon GTT, Cove score 87.19". It matches the Rfam family "tRNA". Rfam says of the family: Transfer RNA (tRNA) molecules are approximately 80 nucleotides in length. Their secondary structure includes four short double-helical elements and three loops (D, anti-codon, and T loops). Further hydrogen bonds mediate the characteristic L-shaped molecular structure. tRNAs have two regions of fundamental functional importance: the anti-codon, which is responsible for specific mRNA codon recognition, and the 3' end, to which the tRNAs corresponding amino acid is attached (by aminoacyl-tRNA synthetases). tRNAs cope with the degeneracy of the genetic code in two manners: having more than one tRNA (with a specific anti-codon) for a particular amino acid; and 'wobble' base-pairing, i.e. permitting non-standard base-pairing at the 3rd anti-codon position. RNAcentral also lists the same sequence under 1 other name. The record is from RNAcentral. Lineage: Bacteria; Pseudomonadati; Pseudomonadota; Betaproteobacteria; Burkholderiales; Alcaligenaceae.